Molecule: ribosomal RNA, 492 nt
Filed under: uncultured bacterium
Lineage: Bacteria
Description: partial 16S ribosomal RNA
Rfam family: Bacterial small subunit ribosomal RNA
Source: RNAcentral
AGUGAACGCUGGCGGUAGGCCUAACACAUGCAAGUCGAACGGCAGCACAGUAAGAGCUUGCUCUUACGGGUGGCGAGUGGCGGACGGGUGAGGAAUACAUCGGAAUCUACUUUUUCGUGGGGGAUAACGUAGGGAAACUUACGCUAAUACCGCAUACGACCUACGGGUGAAAGCAGGGGAUCUUCGGACCUUGCGCGAUUGAAUGAGCCGAUGUCGGAUUAGCUAGUUGGCGGGGUAAAGGCCCGCCAAGGCGACGAUCCGUAGCUGGUCUGAGAGGAUGAUCAGCCGCACUGGAGCUGAGACGCGGUCCAGACUCCUACGAGAGGCAGCAGUGGGGAAUAUUGGGCAAUGGGCGCAAGCCUGGUCCAGCCAUACCGCGUGGGUGAAGAAGGCCUUCGGGUUGUAAAGCCCUUUUGUUGGGAAAGAAAAGCAGCAGGUUAAUACCCCGCUGUUCUGACGGUACCCAAAGAAUAAGCACCGGCUAACUUCGUG